This 263-nucleotide ribosomal RNA is filed under the name uncultured bacterium. RNAcentral's name for it is "partial 16S ribosomal RNA". It matches the Rfam family "Bacterial small subunit ribosomal RNA", at positions 793 to 1055 of the family's 1533-position model. The record is from RNAcentral.
GUCCACGCCGUAAACGAUGGGCACUAGGUGUGGGAGGUGUCGACUCCUCCCGUGCCGACGCUAACGCAUUAAGUGCCCCGCCUGGGGAGUACGGCCGCAAGGCUAAAACUCAAAGGAAUUGACGGGGGCCCGCACAAGCAGCGGAGCAUGUGGUUUAAUUCGACGCAACGCGAAGAACCUUACCUGGGCUUGACAUGUUGGUGACAGGUGUGGAAACACACCCUUCCUUCGGGACACCAUCACAGGUGGUGCAUGGCUGUCGU